GUUUCUUCUAUGAAGGCUGCUUUCUGUGAGGGGGUGUUCUGUAGCUAGGGAUUCUUUCAUGAGUUGGCUGCUGAAUGGAUCAGUCUUUAAAUGGGUUGCACUGUGUGAGCAGUGAAUGCAAAGAAUGCACAACUUUUGACUGUCAAAUCCAAAAAAGAAAAUAACCCACAUUGUACCUGUCACUAAGAGGAGAACUCCAUGCUCUGUGUAACCUGGAUGCUGAGCUAUUGGAUCAGUGUCUCUCAAGGAGAGUUCUGAAGCCACACGGUGUCUCCGGGUGCUGGAUUUUGUACUUGGACCUCUGUAUUAAAACUCACGCAGAGUGAUAGCUCCCUACUGGAUAUACAUCUGAAGAGCUGCAAGAGUGCAAGUCAUUCCAGCAAGGAUCUGGUAUAAAUUACACUCUUAAUUGGCUCCAGAUAAGUCUAUUUUGGACUAUGGAACAUGAAGAACUUGUGUGGCGUACUAAAUCUUCCUACUUCUUGCAAAAACCCUGUCUCUGUACAGGGAACUGCCUGUAAAGAGGGAGUCAUAGACAUACAGAUCUAGAAGCUGGCAGAUUUCGCAUGGCAAAAUCCCAUUAGAUCAGAUCUUGCACAGACUGCUAUUAUUCUACGGGGCAUAUAAUUUCUCAACUAUGAGACAUGCAGUGAGACCUAUGAACUGUAUCAGAUGAUUUGUUUAGACAGCAAGAUGUUUUUAAGUGGCAGUGCUUAUCUUCAUUUUGAUAUGUGCAGAUUAGGGAAGAGGUAAUCAUGGUAUAGCUGUUUAGAACUCCAAGUAUGUUUUAAAUAAUUGAUUUCAAUACAUCUAAAGUAACGAUCAGUUAUCUAAAACAUAUAUUUGCAAAAAAUUCAGUGUAACAAAAUAAAUACCAAUAAUUUAAAACAUUUUUUUGGCUUUUAAUGUUGCAGAAUGUGUAUCUGUAACAGUAAUAAAACUUCA
Long non-coding RNA from Gallus gallus (chicken), 945 nucleotides. Lineage: Eukaryota; Metazoa; Chordata; Aves; Galliformes; Phasianidae. The record is from Ensembl.